CUCCGUUUCCCUGACUCAUGCUUGGGGCUGCGAGCACAUUCUUGGCUCCUAGACAGCAUCUCCAAGGAGAGCUGCCAGCGCUGGGGCGGCCCUGGCUUCUCACAGAGGCCCCGGCCUUUCUCAGCCACAGUCUUAUCCUGUGUAGAAAGAAAGCGGUGACACUUCCUUCCAAUUAACGUCCUGCAAGGAAAAGUGACCUAUGGGCUAGGGGGCCUGGCACAGGACCUGGUCACAGCAAAGAGCUUCACGAAUGUCAUUUCCCCGUCCCCUCCCUCCCGGCCCUGUCCCCAGCAUCUUCUGUAGACACGGUCAAAUCCCAGAUCUAACUACAACUCUGCCGGACGCCCUCAAACAGGCUGCUGAGCCUCCCGGGACCGCAGUUUCCUCCCGUUUAAAACGGAGACAUUCGGACUUCACCUGAAAGUAUUAACUACGGUAACAGGAAUGUGCAGGGCAUUUAACAGGACAGUUUUGGGCCGAGGAUUCUACAGGGUGAGGAGGGCCUGAAUCUUGCCAUGGGGGAUAAAGAGGAUGCCUGGCAGAACUGGGCCUGCCUGCUUGGCUGGGUUGGACGUGCUGUGUGACCUUGGGCAAGUUCCUGCCCCUCUCUGGGCCUCAGUUUUCCUCUCUGCACAGUGUGGAUGCAGCUGGACUCCGCGGGUUUUCUGUUUCCCGCGGUUUCUAGCUCUCUGGACCUAGAGGAUCUCCAGCUGAGCCUCUGUCGGGGGUGGGAGGCGGCAGCGGCGGGGGUUGGGCAGGAGGGGCUCGCUGGGAGCUGAGGCUGGAGGAGUCCUGAGGUGCUGGAGCGUUUCUUUGUGUUUUAGACUUUCCUCCCUCCACAAACAGUGCUUCUUCCAGAAAGUGCAGCCUGGAUGUGUGGGGGAAGGGCUGCUGUCAGCGGGGCCUGGGCUGGGCUCAGAGCUAAGAAUACUGUGGCAAAGGCUCUUAAAACUUUUUUUUUGCUGAUCUUGGGAAAUUUAAAGGAGCCGUUGCCUUUUUUCCUCAGGGAGGUGGCGGGGAGGCUGUGUUUGGGGUCCAGCAGACUCAGGCGGCCACUUGCCAUCACUCCCUCGCUGGCUCGCCUCUUCUGGGAAACCUCUGCCCAUCCCAAAUCUCCAAGGACAUGCAGUGACAACCCAGGGUGAUGACACAGAAGAGGCCUCGGACCCAGUCUGAGCUGGAGGAGCGGUCUGGUGAGGCGGCAGAGGGUCUCCAGGCCCGGCCCCCUCCCUGGGCCUCAGCUUCCCUGUGUGCAAAUGGAGGGCUCUGGAACUUUCGACCCUGACCUUCAAGGAUUCUGAGUGUAUCUACAGGUGAGCCUCAGUUUACCCUUCCCCCUAGGCGGUCACUGAGUCGUGACUCAGCAGAGACUCCAAACGCUCGGCUGAGGCCUCAGAGACUAAGCAACAGAAGAGUGUGCAAGGAAGGCGACCUCUGCGGGAUUUUGACACACGGACCUGCUGGGAGCCAAGGUGAACCUCUCCUUCAACCCACCGGCUUUGACGGACCUUUAGCUGACUGGCCAAUUACCACCUGAGGGCCCGGCUGGGGGGAGGCCUGGGACCUGGCACCUUCCUUGGGUAGCUCGGACGUCUCCUUAAAAGCGAUACACAAAUGAGGCAGGACAAGUACAUGAAAACCAGGAAACUGACCAAAGAGAUGCACCGCCCUGAGGCGGAAAGAUUUUGUCAACGAUCAGACCAGACAGAUCCUAAGUAAGGAUACUGGGCACCUCUGAGGGAGACCCUGAUUAGAAGAAUCUAAAGCUCUUGGGAUCUAAGAUUUCCCACAGUCCCUGAAAUCGGACUUCGAACGUCAGCAGCCUAAGACUGAGUAGUCAGUCACCUUCGCCACCAGGCUGGGGGGGCCAGAAAGGGCCAGCCAGCCCCUCAACUCCGCUGCCAGGGUCCCAGAUGAUUCAUCUGCUGGGUGCUGGGUUUCAUUUGCUUCCUCAGAUCCAGAGAUGCACCCGGAAGAAAGAAGAUCCUCAGCACAGUUUGUUGAUUGAAUAAAUGAGCAAAGUGCCUUUUUA
Non-coding RNA from Sus scrofa (pig), 2032 nucleotides. Lineage: Eukaryota; Metazoa; Chordata; Mammalia; Artiodactyla; Suidae. The record is from RefSeq and is a predicted model, not a curated record.